RNAcentral lists this ribosomal RNA (477 nucleotides) under Triticum aestivum (bread wheat). RNAcentral's name for it is "partial small subunit ribosomal RNA". The record is from RNAcentral. Lineage: Eukaryota; Viridiplantae; Streptophyta; Magnoliopsida; Poales; Poaceae.
CCCCACUUUCCUCUCCUCCACACCCAACCCCCGGUCGCCUCACCUUCUCCCGUGCCGUCCUCCCCAAUCCCGGUCACCUCCCUUUCGAUCUCCGCCGGCCACGCCACUCCAUCGCCCCAGCACCCGCAGAGCGCGCGCCUUCAUCUACCAGCGAUGGUGGCCUCACCGCCUCGCCGGCGCAUGGAUCCAGCACCGCACGCAACCGGCCCACCUUGAUCUGCCGCCUGCCCUCCCCACGUUCUCUGGCGAGCUCGCUUGCUGAGUGAAGUACGUCCGGCGACUGCGUGCGGUUCGGCAACGCAAAGCAUUUGCAUUCUCGCUGUGUUGAUGUGUGCAGUACAUUUUAUAAAAAGUUGCAGUUGGGUUGUAUUUUGUGGGUGAUUGUAAUGUGGAGACAGAAAAAUGGACUUUGUGUGGAUUACUUAGUUUGUAAAAGAAAAACUUGGUAAAAGCAGUGCGCUCGGUGAACCGAAGAAG